This 372-nucleotide ribosomal RNA is filed under the name uncultured organism. RNAcentral describes it as "partial 16S ribosomal RNA". It matches the Rfam family "Bacterial small subunit ribosomal RNA", at positions 527 to 896 of the family's 1533-position model. The record is from RNAcentral.
GUAGGUGGCAAGCGUUGUCCGGAAUUAUUGGGCGUAAAGCGCGCGCAGGCGGUUCUUUAAGUCUGAUGUGAAAGCCCACGGCUCAACCGUGGAGGGUCAUUGGAAACUGGAGAACUUGAGUACAGAAGAGGAAAGCGGAAUUCCACGUGUAGCGGUGAAAUGCGUAGAGAUGAGGAGGAACACCAGUGGCGAAGGCGGCUUUCUGGUCUGUAACUGACGCUGAGGCGCGAAAGCGUGGGGAGCAAACAGGGAUUAGAUACCCUGGUAGUCCACGCCGUAAACGAUGAGUGCUAAGUGUUAGGGGGUUUCCGCCCCCUUAGUGCUGCAGCUAACGCAUUAAGCACUCCGCCUGGGGAUACGGCCGCAAGGCUG